This is a long non-coding RNA of Carassius gibelio (silver crucian carp), 569 nucleotides long. RefSeq lists it as uncharacterized. The record is from RefSeq and is a predicted model, not a curated record. Lineage: Eukaryota; Metazoa; Chordata; Actinopteri; Cypriniformes; Cyprinidae. The transcript is spliced from 5 exons.
CAGAAACUGAGAGUUUGCAUGAUGGCAUUUUCUCAGACGUUGAAUCUGAUGUGUACAGAUGAACUCAGGAGCCUACUAGAGUUGCCAAGGAACUUGUGCUUGAACUGAAGACCAGAAACGCAAAGAAAAUCAGUCAAACCAGUCCUAAAGAAAUGAGGAAUGAACAUGGACUUCUUGUGCCCCAAAAGAAAAGACAGAAAGCUCCUAAAAUGAGCAAAUAAGCUGUGCAUCAUCUCUGUAAUUUGGGAAGGAAAUGACUGAAUAUGAUGAAGCCAAUUGAUGAAGAUAUCAAUUGAAUGGCCACCGAGUGCAUCACUGCUACCUGAACCCAUCAGUUAUCUUCUGUGAAGACUGCAUUCACAAACCGCUCUACUGCGACAGCUCAGAUGUUACGGCCUGCAAAGUAAACAUCACAGCUAAACAACGAGAGCUAGUUGUGGUGGGAUUCUUUUGGCCAAUAUCCCCAACAAGAAUCAAUGACAUCUAGACCAGGUGGAGUGUGAGGAGGACCGUCAGAGACUCCAGCCAGCCGAGCCAUGGAUUGCUCUCACUGUUACCAUCAGGCAGAC